UGGGGAAUAUUGCACAAUGGGCGCAAGCCUGAUGCAGCAACGCCGCGUGAACGAUGAAGGUCUUCGGAUCGUAAAGUUCUGUUGCAGGGGAAGAUAAUGACGGUACCCUGUGAGGAAGCCCCGGCUAACUACGUUCCAGCAGCCGCGGUAAUACGUAGGGGGCUAGCGUUAUCCGGAUUUACUGGGCGUAAAGGGUGCGUAGGUGGUCCUUCAAGUCGGUGGUUAAAGGCUACGGCUCAACCGUAGUAAGCCGCCGAAACUGGAGGACUUGAGUGCAGGAGAGGAAAGUGGAAUUCCCAGUGUAGCGGUGAAAUGCGUAGAUAUUGGGAGGAACACCAGUAGCGAAGGCGGCUUUCUGGACUGCAACUGACACUGUGGCACGAAAGCGUGGGUAGCAAACAGG
RNAcentral lists this ribosomal RNA (403 nucleotides) under Verrucomicrobiota bacterium. RNAcentral's name for it is "Verrucomicrobia bacterium partial 16S ribosomal RNA". It matches the Rfam family "Bacterial small subunit ribosomal RNA", at positions 355 to 776 of the family's 1533-position model. Lineage: Bacteria; Pseudomonadati; Verrucomicrobiota. The record is from RNAcentral.